RNAcentral lists this ribosomal RNA (468 nucleotides) under uncultured bacterium. RNAcentral describes it as "partial 16S ribosomal RNA". It matches the Rfam family "Bacterial small subunit ribosomal RNA", at positions 28 to 507 of the family's 1533-position model. The record is from RNAcentral.
GACGAACGCUGGCGGCGUGCUUAACACAUGCAAGUCGAACGGAAAGGCCCUGCUUUUGUGGGGUGCUCGAGUGGCGAACGGGUGAGUAACACGUGAGUAACCUGCCCUUGACUUUGGAAUAACUUCAGGAAACUGGGGCUAAUACCGGAUAGGAGCUCCUGCUGCAUGGUGGGGGUUGGAAAGUUUCGGCGGUUGGGGAUGGACUCGCGGCUUAUCAGCUUGUUGGUGGGGUAGUGGCUUACCAAGGCUUUGACGGGUAGCCGGCCUGAGAGGGUGACCGGCCACAUUGGGACUGAGAUACGGCCCAGACUCCUACGGGAGGCAGCAGUGGGGAAUAUUGCACAAUGGGCGGAAGCCUGAUGCAGCAACGCCGCGUGCGGGAUGACGGCCUUCGGGUUGUAAACCGCUUUCGCCUGUGACGAAGCGUGAGUGACGGUAAUGGGUAAAGAAGCACCGGCUAACUACGUG